AUUGAACGCUGGCGGCAGGCUUAACACAUGCAAGUCGAGCGAGAGGCGGACGGGUGAGUAAUGUCUGGGAAAAUGCCUGAUGGAGGGGGCUAACUACUGGAAAAGGUAGCUAAUACCGCAUAACAUCCGAUGUGCCCAGAUGGGAUUAGCUAGUAGGUGGGGUAAUGGCUCACCUAGGCGACGAUCCCUAGCUGGUCUGAGAGGAUGACCAGCCACACUGGAACUGAGACACGGUCCAGACUCCUACGGGAGGCAGCAGUGGGGAAUAUUGGACAAUGGGCGCAAGCCUGAUGCAGCCAUGCCGCGUGUGUGAAGAAGGCCUUCGGGUUGUAAAGCACUUUCGGCAGGGAAGCGGUACUCGCAGAAGAAGCACCGGCUAACUCCGUGCCAGCAGCCGCGGUAAUUC
This 406-nucleotide ribosomal RNA is filed under the name uncultured bacterium. RNAcentral describes it as "partial 16S ribosomal RNA". It matches the Rfam family "Bacterial small subunit ribosomal RNA", at positions 30 to 526 of the family's 1533-position model. The record is from RNAcentral.